AACGCACAUUGCGCCCUUUGGCAUUCCGAAGGGCAUGCCUGUUCGAGCGUCAUUAUCACCCCUCAAGCCCCCGGCUUGGUGUUGGACGGUUUGGCGGAGGCCCCUUCGCGGGGCUCCUGCCCCUCCCAAAGACAAUGACGGCGGCCUCGUUGGACCCCCGGUACACUGAGUUCUUCACGGGACACGUACUGGAGUAAGGGUGCGCGGGGCACGGUCUGCCUCCCCUUUCAGGGAGAACUUAUUUACAAGGUUGACCUCGGAUCAGGUAGGGAUACCCGCUGAACUUAA
RNAcentral lists this unclassified non-coding RNA (288 nucleotides) under uncultured fungus. RNAcentral's name for it is "partial contains 5.8S ribosomal RNA, internal transcribed spacer 2, and large subunit ribosomal RNA". Lineage: Eukaryota; Fungi. The record is from RNAcentral.